AGACAGUUCGGUCCCUAUCUGCUAUGGGCGUUGGAUGAUUGAGAGGAGCUGCAUUUAGUACGAGAGGACCGAUGUGGACGAACCUCUGGUGUACCUGUUGUUCUGCCAAGGGCACGUGCAGGGUAGCUAAGUUCGGAAGGGAUAACCGCUGAAGGCAUCUAAGUGGGAAGCCCACCUCAAGAUAAACCAUCCCUGAGGGUUCGACCCUCCUGAAGACUCCGGAGAGACUAUCCGGUUGAUAGGCUGCAGGUGUAAGCGCGGUGACGCGUUCAGCCGAGCAGUACUAAUAAGUCGUGAGGCUUGACCAUAU
Molecule: ribosomal RNA, 310 nt
Filed under: Treponema sp.
Lineage: Bacteria; Pseudomonadati; Spirochaetota; Spirochaetia; Treponematales; Treponemataceae
Description: bacterial LSU rRNA
Rfam family: Bacterial large subunit ribosomal RNA
Source: RNAcentral